AAAGCCUGACGCAGCGACGCCGCGUGAGGGAUGAAGGUUCUCGGAUCGUAAACCUCUGUCAGAAGGGAAGAAACCGCACCGUGCUAAUCAGCGGUGCAUUGACGGUACCGAAUGAAUAAGCCACGGCUAACUACGUGCCAGCAGCCGCGGUAAUACGUAGGUGGCAAGCGUUAUCCGGAUUUACUGGGUGUAAAGGGCGUGUAGGCGGGACUGCAAGUCAGAUGUGAAACCCAUGGGCUCAACCCAUGGCCUGCAUUUGAAACUGUGGUUCUUGAGUGUCGGAGAGGUAAUCGGAAUUCCGUGUGUAGCGGUGAAAUGCGUAGAUAUACGGAGGAACACCAGUGGCGAAGGCGGAUUACUGGACGAUAACUGACGCUGAGGCGCGAAAGCGUGGGGAGCAAACA
This 404-nucleotide ribosomal RNA is filed under the name uncultured Oscillospiraceae bacterium. Its description in RNAcentral is "bacterial SSU rRNA". It matches the Rfam family "Bacterial small subunit ribosomal RNA", at positions 378 to 774 of the family's 1533-position model. The record is from RNAcentral. Lineage: Bacteria; Bacillati; Bacillota; Clostridia; Eubacteriales; Oscillospiraceae.